Molecule: microRNA precursor, 65 nt
Filed under: Phlebotomus papatasi
Lineage: Eukaryota; Metazoa; Arthropoda; Insecta; Diptera; Psychodidae
Description: mir-2 microRNA precursor
Rfam family: mir-2 microRNA precursor family
About the family: The miRNAs are transcribed as ~70nt precursors (modelled here) and subsequently processed by the Dicer enzyme to give a ~22nt product. In this case the mature sequence comes from the 3' arm of the precursor. The extents of the hairpin precursors are not generally known and are estimated based on hairpin prediction.
Source: RNAcentral
CGCCUCUCAAAGUGGCUGUGAAAUGUUUUAUGUAUUCAUAUCACAGCCAGCUUUGAAGAGCGAUU